RNAcentral lists this ribosomal RNA (303 nucleotides) under Clostridioides difficile. Its description in RNAcentral is "bacterial SSU rRNA". It matches the Rfam family "Bacterial small subunit ribosomal RNA", at positions 586 to 890 of the family's 1533-position model. Lineage: Bacteria; Bacillati; Bacillota; Clostridia; Peptostreptococcales; Peptostreptococcaceae. The record is from RNAcentral.
AGGCAGGAGUGAAAGGCUACGGCUCAACCGUAGUAAGCUCUUGAAACUGGGAGACUUGAGUGCAGGAGAGGAGAGUGGAAUUCCUAGUGUAGCGGUGAAAUGCGUAGAUAUUAGGAGGAACACCAGUGGCGAAGGCGGCUCUCUGGACUGUAACUGACGCUGAGGCACGAAAGCGGGGGGAGCAAACAGGAUUAGAUACCCUGGUAGUCCACGCUGUAAACGAUGAGUACUAGGUGUCGGGGGUUACCCCCCUCGGUGCCGCAGCUAACGCAUUAAGUACUCCGCCUGGGAAGUACGCUCGCA